UGCUUUGAUUAAUGACUUAGAUGAACUUAUAAAAGCAUAGAUGGAAUUAUUAUUAUAUCAAAUUGUUUGCUAGAACAAGAUUUAAAGGUUUCAAAAUGAAGAAAUUGAUCUUUCUGUUUCUCCUUUUGACCGCCAUACUACAAAUGACAUCUGCAGCCCCUAGAUGGUGUGGUAAAUUUUGUGAUAGUGAGGAGAAUGGCGGCGAUGGUGGUGGAGGUGGUGAUGGAGGAGGAGGUUUUCCUUAUUUUUUUAUUGGUCAUGGAGGAGGAAGAAAAAGAAAAUGAAACAGUCAUCAGAAGAGUCUAACAACUGCCUUUUUCUAGAGCUCUACUGGUUUUAAUUCGAUGACAUUUUGAAGUAUUAAAUCAUUAAUUAAC
This is a long non-coding RNA of Mytilus californianus (California mussel), 377 nucleotides long. RefSeq lists it as uncharacterized. The transcript has 3 exons. NCBI's taxonomy places the organism in Eukaryota, Metazoa, Mollusca, Bivalvia, Mytilida, Mytilidae. The record is from RefSeq and is a predicted model, not a curated record.